GUCCAGACUCCUACGGGAGGCAGCAGUGGGGAAUAUUGCACAAUGGGGGAAACCCUGAUGCAGCGGCGCCGCGUGAGCGAUGAAGUAUUUCGGUAUGUAAAGCUCUAUCAGCAGGGAAGAAGAUGACGGUACCUGACUAAGAAGCCCCGGCUAACUACGUGCCAGCAGCCGCGGUAAUACGUAGGGGGCAAGCGUUAUCCGGAUUUACUGGGUGUAAAGGGAGCGUAGACGGCGAUGCAAGCCAGAUGUGAAAGCCCGGGGCUCAACCCCGGGACUGCAUUUGGAACUGUGUGGCUGGAGUGUCGGAGAGGCAGGCGGAAUUCCUAGUGUAGCGGUGAAAUGCGUAGAUAUUAGGAGGAACACCAGUGGCGAAGGCGGCCUGCUGGACGAUGACUGACGUUGAGGCUCGAAAGCGUGGGGAGCAAACAGGAUUAGAUACCCCAGUA
This 446-nucleotide ribosomal RNA is filed under the name uncultured bacterium. RNAcentral describes it as "partial 16S ribosomal RNA". It matches the Rfam family "Bacterial small subunit ribosomal RNA", at positions 329 to 792 of the family's 1533-position model. The record is from RNAcentral.